AGCACAAUUCUGCAUAUGUGCAACUAAGAAGCAGAGGGUCUUGACAAAAAUUGCUUUUGUGUUGGAGAAACAUAUGAUUGAUGUUGUAUCUAUCAACAUUAUACGCAAUGGAAUUGGAAAUGUGUACAUGAUUCUAGUUCAUGCAAGCAAAGGUUCAUAUGACACAAAUUCAAUGGAGAAAACUUACAAGCAAGCGGCUGGAGAAAUUUUGAUGUUGAUAUCUUAAAAUUUGUUUAUAAAAUUUGUAUUCUCGUUUUGUAUGAAUUUUAAUUUCAUUUAGUUUUUCUCCUAGAAACAACUAGAAAAGGGCCAAAGUUAGAGAACAGUCUAACUAGCAAACAAGUAUAAUAUUUAAAUUUUUAUUAAAUUAUAGUGAUUUUUGUUUCGUUAUGAGGCAUGAAA
This is a long non-coding RNA of Lathyrus oleraceus (garden pea), 402 nucleotides long. RefSeq lists it as uncharacterized. The record is from RefSeq and is a predicted model, not a curated record. Lineage: Eukaryota; Viridiplantae; Streptophyta; Magnoliopsida; Fabales; Fabaceae. The transcript has 2 exons.